RNAcentral lists this ribosomal RNA (866 nucleotides) under Dictyocheirospora pandanicola. RNAcentral's name for it is "SSU rRNA". It matches the Rfam family "Eukaryotic small subunit ribosomal RNA", at positions 71 to 950 of the family's 1831-position model. The record is from RNAcentral. Lineage: Eukaryota; Fungi; Ascomycota; Dothideomycetes; Pleosporales; Dictyosporiaceae.
GCAUUAUACCGUGAAACUGCGAAUGGCUCAUUAAAUCAGUUAUCGUUUAUUUGAUAGUACCUUACUACUUGGAUACCCGUGGUAAUUCUAGAGCUAAUACAUGCUAAAAACCCCGACUUCGGGAGGGGUGUGUUUAUUAGAUAAAAAACCAACGCCCUUCGGGGCUCCUUGGUGAUUCAUGAUAACCUCUCAGAUCGCACGGCCUUGCGCCGGCGACGGUUCAUUCAAAUUUCUGCCCUAUCAACUUUCGAUGGUAAGGUAUUGGCUUACCAUGGUUUCAACGGGUAACGGGGAAUUAGGGUUCGAUUCCGGAGAGUGAGCCUGAGAAACGGCUCACACAUCCAAGGAAGGCAGCAGGCGCGCAAAUUACCCAAUCCCGACACGGGGAGGUAGUGACAAUAAAUACUGAUACAGGGCUCUUUUGGGUCUUGUAAUUGGAAUGAGUACAAUUUAAACCUCUUAACGAGGAACAAUUGGAGGGCAAGUCUGGUGCCAGCAGCCGCGGUAAUUCCAGCUCCAAUAGCGUAUAUUAAAGUUGUUGCAGUUAAAAAGCUCGUAGUUGAAUCUUUGGCCUGGCUGGCGGGUCCGCCUCACCGCGUGCACUUGUCCGGCCGGGCCUUCUCUUCUGGAGAACCGCAUGCCCUUCACUGGGCGUGUUGGGGACCAGGACUUUUACUUUGAAAAAAUUAGAGUGUUCAAAAGCAGGCCUUUGCUCGAAUACGUUAGCAUGGAAUAAUAGAAUAGGACGUGCGGUCCUAUUUUGUUGGUUUCUAGGACCGCCGUAAUGAUUAAUAGGGACAGUCGGGCAUCAGUAUUCAAUUGUCAGAGGUGAAUCCUUGGAUUUAUUGAGACUAACUACUGCGAAA